This 797-nucleotide ribosomal RNA is filed under the name uncultured bacterium. RNAcentral's name for it is "bacterial SSU rRNA". It matches the Rfam family "Bacterial small subunit ribosomal RNA", at positions 604 to 1398 of the family's 1533-position model. The record is from RNAcentral.
GAGCCUUAACCCCGGAUCUGCGGUGGGUACGGGCAGACUAGAGUGCAGUAGGGGAGACUGGAAUCCUGGUGUAGCGUGAAAUGCGCAGAUAUCAGGAGGAACACCGAUGGCGAAGGCAGGUCUCUGGGCUGUAACUGACGCUGAGGAGCGAAAGCAUGGGGAGCGAACAGGAUUAGAUACCCUGGUAGUCCAUGCCGUAAACGUUGGGCACUAGGUGUGGGGGACAUUCCACGUUUUCCGCGCCGUAGCUAACGCAUUAAAGUGCCCCGCCUGGGGAGUACGGCCGCAAGGCUAAAACUCAAAGGAAUUGACGGGGGCCCGCACAAGCGGCGGAGCAUGCGGAUUAAUUCGAUGCAACGCGAAGAACCUUACCAAGGCUUGACAUGAACCGGAAUGAUGCAGAGAUGUGUCAGCCACUUGUGGCCGGUUUACAGGUGGUGCAUGGUUGUCGUCAGCUCGUGUCGUGAGAUGUUGGGUUAAGUCCCGCAACGAGCGCAACCCUCGUUCCAUGUUGCCAGCGGGUUAUGCCGGGGACUCAUGGGAGACUGGCGGGGUCAACUCGGAGGAAGGUGGGGACGACGUCAAAUCAUCAUGCCCCUUAUGUCUUGGGCUUCACGCAUGCUACAAUGGCCGGUACAAAGGGUUGCGAUACUGUGAGGUGGAGCUAAUCCCAAAAAGCCGGUCUCAGUUCGGAUUGAGGUCUGCAACCCGACCUCAUGAAGUUGGAGUCGCUAGUAAUUGCAGAUCAGCAACGCUGCGGUGAAUACGUUCCCGGCCUUCGCACAACACCGCCCGUC